UCGUUCGGAACGCGCUGAGCCCAAAAUAAAAACAAAAAAUAACAGACGAGAGCCGAGCAAAACGUGAAGCAACGUCGAGACGGGGCACGUUAAACGGCACAAAAGUGUAGUGUAGUUCUAGGCUUUAAGUUGUUUUUUCCCCUUAUUUUGGUUUUGUUUUUUUUUUUUAUUUUAUUGCAAUCCUUUUACUUGACACAAUUUACACAAGCACAGAAACACGCGAAAACUACUCGGCGAUUAUGUUUAUUGGCAGCGCGCACAACAACCAAAAGGCCCGCAAAUAGCGCAAUGUUGCCUGACCAAACCCCAACCUAGUGAGUAGCCCUAUGCCAAAGGAAAGCUACCAAAAUGCAUUCGGCGUGCUAACAUCUAGUUCAAUUUCAAGUGCAUACGCGCCAGGCACGUUCAAGUGACAGAGUGAGUGGAAAAGUGGGGUGACAUCAGUGGGCGUGACUGACCAGCUGGCUCCGGCUGGAGAGCGAGUGCGAGUGUGUGAGUGUGUGUGUGCCUUUGAGCUGGACACGCGACAUCUACAAACAUAAUCGCGGGCAAGGAAUACGAAAAACAUUCAGGUUUGCGGCCAACACAAAUCCAUCCAGACACGAAUCCAAAUCCGUAGAAUUUAGCCACAAACAGUACACAGAUACAAAAACAAUUACAACUGAUCGUAUUUGCUAAGCGACCGUAUUUACACUGUGAUCAUGACUUAUAUACCCAAAAAUAUGCAUCACUAUGCGCAUGCAGCCAUGAAUCUGAUCAACAUGGACUCGGAGAAUCGUGUCGUGCUCAAUGUGGGCGGCAUUAGGCAUGAGACAUACAAGGCCACAUUGAAGAAGAUACCAGCGACGCGUUUGUCCCGUCUGACCGAGGCGCUGGCCAACUAUGAUCCCAUACUGAACGAAUACUUCUUCGAUCGGCAUCCGGGCGUAUUCGCACAAGUGCUCAACUAUUACAGAACUGGUAAGCUGCACUAUCCCACAGAUGUGUGCGGUCCGCUGUUUGAGGAAGAAUUGGAAUUUUGGGGUCUUGACUCGAAUCAGGUGGAGCCCUGCUGCUGGAUGACCUAUACACAGCAUCGUGACACACAAGAAACCCUAGCCGUACUGGAUCGCUUAGAUCUGGAUACGGAAAAACCGUCCGAAGAGGAAUUGGCGCGCAAAUUUGGCUUUGAGGAGGACUAUUAUAAAGGCACCAUAUCCUGGUGGCAGGAAAUGAAGCCUCGCAUCUGGUCGCUAUUCGAUGAGCCUUACAGUUCCAAUGCCGCCAAGACCAUUGGCGUCGUCUCGGUAUUCUUCAUAUGCAUUUCGAUAUUGUCCUUCUGCCUGAAAACCCAUCCGGACAUGCGUGUGCCCAUCGUGCACAAUGUGACCGUGAAAACGGCAAACGGGAGCGCCGCUUGGUUUCUGGACAAGUCAAUGACCAAUGCGCAUAUUGCCUUCUUCUAUAUAGAAUGCGUUUGCAAUGCCUGGUUUACGUUUGAGAUACUGGUGCGCUUUAUCUCAUCGCCCAACAAGUGUGAAUUCUUAAAGUCAUCUGUUAACAUCAUAGAUUAUAUAGCGACGCUUAGUUUUUAUAUCGAUCUAGUGCUUCAGCGAUUCGCAUCGCAUCUGGAGAACGCUGACAUACUCGAGUUCUUCUCGAUCAUACGCAUAAUGCGGCUGUUCAAGCUGACACGCCACUCGUCCGGCCUGAAAAUCCUUAUACAAACGUUCCGGGCAUCGGCCAAGGAGUUAACACUGCUCGUAUUCUUCCUGGUGCUGGGCAUUGUGAUCUUUGCCAGCCUCGUCUACUAUGCCGAGCGCAUACAGCCCAAUCCGCACAACGACUUCAAUAGCAUACCGCUGGGCCUGUGGUGGGCAUUGGUCACCAUGACCACUGUCGGCUAUGGUGACAUGGCGCCCAAGACCUACAUUGGCAUGUUUGUCGGCGCCCUAUGCGCCCUUGCCGGUGUGCUAACCAUUGCACUGCCAGUGCCCGUCAUAGUCAGCAACUUUGCCAUGUAUUAUUCGCAUACGCAGGCGCGAGCCAAACUGCCAAAGAAGCGAAGACGAGUGCUUCCCGUGGAACAGCCGCGACAGCCACACCGGCCAGGUGAGCGCGCUCCAGUCAGUGGCUGCGGCACACCAGGAUCUGGUCCACACUCGGGUCCCAUGGGCUCCGGCGGCACCGGACCGCGCCGCAUGAACAACAAAACCAAGGAUCUGGUCAGUCCCAAGUCAGAUGAAUAUACAACAAUGAUUGGCAAACCACGUGAUGGCAAAAAGAGCAGGCUGCUCUAAGCCAUAACCAUGAAUCAAGAACACUGAACUCUGAACCCUGAACUCUAGCGAAAUAUUUAAAUGCAAAGAGCAAUGCAAGGCAAGGCAUAAAUAAGGAACAUAAAGAAUGGAGCAUAUCUAUGAAGCAACUAUUGAACUGGCAUCAUUAUUAUUUAGAAAGAAUUCAUCCCAACUAGAAGUAUCCACACAUUAGAAAGCCAUUAUCAAAUAAAAUGCACACUAUCUGAAUACAACUUUAAAGGAGCCGCAGGAUUGAGAUGCUUAUCGUGUUGCUCAACUCUUCACAGGUCCCUUGGGCGCCAGCAUCGUUGCGAUGAGUCCAC
This 2602-nucleotide unclassified non-coding RNA is filed under the name Drosophila virilis. Its description in RNAcentral is "GJ21169". The stretch from base 1878 to 1991 matches the Rfam family "Potassium channel RNA editing signal". Lineage: Eukaryota; Metazoa; Arthropoda; Insecta; Diptera; Drosophilidae. The record is from RNAcentral.